RNAcentral lists this ribosomal RNA (1971 nucleotides) under Clostridioides difficile. Its description in RNAcentral is "bacterial SSU rRNA". The stretch from base 485 to 1971 matches the Rfam family "Bacterial small subunit ribosomal RNA". The record is from RNAcentral. Lineage: Bacteria; Bacillati; Bacillota; Clostridia; Peptostreptococcales; Peptostreptococcaceae.
AUAAACUGAACGCAUGUGAAGUUUGUUUGUUGGCGCUGUGCGUUAGCACUUUAAGUAACGGAAUAAUCUGAGUGAAUACGAAGGUUGUUCGUUGACGUGGUGCGUUAGCACUUUAAGCAACGGAAUUUAUUCGUUGGCGCCGUGCUUUAGCACUUUGAAAACUGCAUAUAUAUUUAGUGAUAUGACAUCUAAUUUGUAAUAUAUAAAGCUGAUAACUUUUUAAAAUUAUCGAAGUUGAUAGCUUCUAAUCUAUCAAACCUUUUUAACUGGUCAAGUUAUUAAGGGUGCAGGGCGGAUGCCUUGGCACUAGGAGCCGAUGAAGGACGUGAUAAGCUGCGAUAAGCUUCGGGGAGUUGCACGUAAACUUUGAUCCGAAGAUUUCCGAAUGAGGAAACUCACUUAGAGUAAUGUCUAAGUAUCAUUAAGUGAAUACAUAGCUUAAUGAGGGGAACUCAGGGAACUGAAACAUCUAAGUACCUGAAGGAAGAGAAAGAAAUUCGAUUCCGUAAGUAGCGGCGAGCGAACGCGGAUUAGCCCAAACCAAUAAAGUUUUCUUUAUUGGGGUUGCGGACAUAUCAUAACGAAGAGGUAUCGUAAUUGAAGAGGUUUGGAAAGACCCACCACAGAAGGUAAUAGUCCUGUAUGUUAAACGAGAAGACUUNAAUAUCAAAGGUGAGCCAGUACAGGAUGGACCCGCGUCUGAUUAGCUAGUUGGUAAGGUAACGGCUUACCAAGGCGACGAUCAGUAGCCGACCUGAGAGGGUGAUCGGCCACAUUGGAACUGAGACACGGUCCAAACUCCUACGGGAGGCAGCAGUGGGGAAUAUUGCACAAUGGGCGAAAGCCUGAUGCAGCAACGCCGCGUGAGUGAUGAAGGCCUUCGGGUCGUAAAACUCUGUCCUCAAGGAAGAUAAUGACGGUACUUGAGGAGGAAGCCCCGGCUAACUACGUGCCAGCAGCCGCGGUAAUACGUAGGGGGCUAGCGUUAUCCGGAUUUACUGGGCGUAAAGGGUGCGUAGGCGGUCUUUCAAGUCAGGAGUGAAAGGCUACGGCUCAACCGUAGUAAGCUCUUGAAACUGGGAGACUUGAGUGCAGGAGAGGAGAGUGGAAUUCCUAGUGUAGCGGUGAAAUGCGUAGAUAUUAGGAGGAACACCAGUUGCGAAGGCGGCUCUCUGGACUGUAACUGACGCUGAGGCACGAAAGCGUGGGGAGCAAACAGGAUUAGAUACCCUGGUAGUCCACGCUGUAAACGAUGAGUACUAGGUGUCGGGGGUUACCCCCUUCGGUGCCGCAGCUAACGCAUUAAGUACUCCGCCUGGGAAGUACGCUCGCAAGAGUGAAACUCAAAGGAAUUGACGGGGACCCGCACAAGUAGCGGAGCAUGUGGUUUAAUUCGAAGCAACGCGAAGAACCUUACCUAAGCUUGACAUCCCAAUGACAUCUCCUUAAUCGGAGAGUUCCCUUCGGGGACAUUGGUGACAGGUGGUGCAUGGUUGUCGUCAGCUCGUGUCGUGAGAUGUUGGGUUAAGUCCCGCAACGAGCGCAACCCUUGUCUUUAGUUGCCAUCAUUAAGUUGGGCACUCUAGAGAGACUGCCAGGGAUAACCUGGAGGAAGGUGGGGAUGACGUCAAAUCAUCAUGCCCCUUAUGCUUAGGGCUACACACGUGCUACAAUGGGUAGUACAGAGGGUUGCCAAGCCGUAAGGUGGAGCUAAUCCCUUAAAGCUACUCUCAGUUCGGAUUGUAGGCUGAAACUCGCCUACAUGAAGCUGGAGUUACUAGUAAUCGCAGAUCAGAAUGCUGCGGUGAAUGCGUUCCCGGGUCUUGUACACACCGCCCGUCACACCACGGGAGUUGGAGACGCCCGAAGCCGAUUAUCUAACCUUUUGGAAGAAGUCGUCGAAGGUGGAAUCAAUAACUGGGGUGAAGUCGUAACAAGGUAGCCGUAUCGGAAGGUGCGGCUGGAUCACCU